This 236-nucleotide ribosomal RNA is filed under the name uncultured bacterium. RNAcentral's name for it is "partial 16S ribosomal RNA". It matches the Rfam family "Bacterial small subunit ribosomal RNA", at positions 118 to 347 of the family's 1533-position model. The record is from RNAcentral.
UGAGGAACAUGAUCUUCGGCGGGGGGAUAGCCGGCCCAACGGCCGGGUAAUACCGCGUACGACCUUUUGGGGACAUCCCCGAUUGGUGAAAGCAGCAAUGCGCCGAAAGAGUGCCUCGCGGCCUAUCAGCUAGUUGGUGGGGUAAUGGCUCACCAAGGCGACGACGGGUAGCUGGUCUGAGAGGAUGGCCAGCCACAGUUGGGACUGAGACACGGCCCAGACCUCCGUACGGGAGC